Molecule: ribosomal RNA, 387 nt
Filed under: Microlestria fuscicollis
Lineage: Eukaryota; Metazoa; Arthropoda; Insecta; Hemiptera; Reduviidae
Description: partial 16S ribosomal RNA
Source: RNAcentral
CAAAAACAUGUCCUCUUGUUAUUUAUUUGAGGUCUAACCUGCUCAAUGAUAUUUUAAAUGGCCGCGGUAUUUUAACUGUGCUAAGGUAGCAUAAUAAAUUGUCUUUUAAUUGGAGGCUAGAAUGAAUGGUUGGACGAAAUAUAAGCUUUCUUUAAUUUAUAGUAUGAAUUUAAUUUUUUGGUUAAAAAGCUAAAAUUUUUUUGUUGGACGAGAAGACCCUAUAGAUCUUUAUAAUUUUUUAUGUAUAAUUUUUUAGUGGUUAAUGUAUUAUAUAUAUUUAACUAUUUUGUUGGGGUGACAUUGGAAUUAAUUUAACUUCUAUAUUUUUUUUUCAUUAAUUAGUGUUAUUUUGAUCCAUUAUUAUUGAUUAUAAGAUWAAGAUACCUU